UACGUAGGUGGCAAGCGUUGUCCGGAAUUAUUGGGCGUAAAGCGCGCGCAGGCGGUCCUUUAAGUCUGAUGUGAAAGCCCACGGCUCAACCGUGGAGGGUCAUUGGAAACUGGGGGACUUGAGUACAGAAGAGAAGAGUGGAAUUCCACGUGUAGCGGUGAAAUGCGUAGAGAUGUGGAGGAACACCAGUGGCGAAGGCGACUCUUUGGGAUGAUGCUGACGCUGAGGCGCGAAAGCCAGGGGAGCAAACGGG
This 253-nucleotide ribosomal RNA is filed under the name uncultured bacterium. Its description in RNAcentral is "partial 16S ribosomal RNA". It matches the Rfam family "Bacterial small subunit ribosomal RNA", at positions 524 to 776 of the family's 1533-position model. The record is from RNAcentral.